CACGUAGGGGGCGAGCGUUGUCCGGAAUUACUGGGCGUAAAGGGCGCGCAGGCUGUUAUGCGAGUCUGCUGUGAAAUGUACCGGCUCAACCGGUGCCUUGCGGCGGAUACUGCAUAGCUGGAGUACUGGAGAGGGAAGUGGAAUUCCCGGUGUAGCGGUGAAAUGCGUAGAUAUCGGUAGGAACACCGGUGGCGAAGGCGGCUUUCUGGCCAGUUACUGACGCUCAUGCGCGAAAGCUGGGGUAGCGAACCGGAUUAGAUACCU
RNAcentral lists this ribosomal RNA (264 nucleotides) under uncultured prokaryote. RNAcentral's name for it is "partial 16S ribosomal RNA". It matches the Rfam family "Bacterial small subunit ribosomal RNA", at positions 524 to 787 of the family's 1533-position model. The record is from RNAcentral.